AGACUGGAUUUUUGCCUGACUACGGUGCUCAGCCUUCUAGACAAUAGUUAUGCUAAGGGAUUAUCUUUUAACAUUGUGCAGUUAUCUCCUUUGUUUGUUUUCUUUUUUCAUUAUUCACAUAAGCCAAGGGAAAUGAAAAGCAUCUUAUUUCAGGCAAAAAGGCCUGUGAAUGAUUAACUCUGGUUCCAUGCGUUGGGACUUUGCAUAGCAACCCCGUGGCUUGCAACGACAAAAAAGCUCAAGGCAGGAACAGCAGCCCAGGGACCUGAGACCAGCGUUCUCAAAUGAAGGUGAUCUGCUGUUAGAGGAGAAUUCUUCUGUCCUAGCUGUGUCUCUGUGAUCUGUGGAUGAGGGUGGGAAAGCACCACUCAGUCAAUUGGGGUGUACAAAAUGGAGUUUGAGAAGGUCUCACAUCCAGGUUGUUUUGAAGCAAAGUCCAAGCAUUGUAUCACUUCAUCUGCAAAUAUUUCAAUAAGUACCCAAAAGACUUCCUAGGAUAGAGCUUGGAAAGGUUGGAAAAGUAAGGAUGAUUGAACUUGAAAGGUGUGAAUGAAAGAAGAAUUAUCUUUUGGGAUGGAGAAUAGUAGCUGUUUUCAAAGAAGAUUUUAUUUUAUCUUUCAUUUUUGGCCUAUAAGUUUUGCAGAGAAUCUGUGAUUAGAGUAUUUAGUAAAGUACUAUGUAAUUAUUGUUCUGUUAUUUGGACACAUGUUUAAACUAGAAUUUUGAAGAUAGCAAUUAGCAAUAAUUAUGUAUGUUCUAGCCACUUUAUUCAUUCUACCUCUUUUACCAUAUACUUUAAAGAUAUCUAUAUGGUAAAAGGUAAGUGGCAACUGAAUAAUCACAAAUACAUCAACAAGUAAAGAGAUGCUUUGUUUUA
Molecule: long non-coding RNA, 877 nt
Filed under: Homo sapiens (human)
Lineage: Eukaryota; Metazoa; Chordata; Mammalia; Primates; Hominidae
Description: long intergenic non-protein coding RNA 1091
Source: RNAcentral